CCUACGGGAGGCAGCAGUGAGGAAUAUUGGUCAAUGGGCGGAAGCCUGAACCAGCCAAGUAGCGUGCGGGAUGAAGGCCCUACGGGUCGUAAACCGCUUUUGCACGGGGAUAACACCCUCCACUUGUGGAGGUCUGCAGGUACCGUACGAAUAAGGGCCGGCUAAUUCCGUGCCAGCAGCCGCGGUAAUACGGAAGGCCCGAGCGUUAUCCGGACUCAUUGGGGUUAAAGGGCGCGUAGGCGGGCGUUCAAGUCAGUGGUAAAACCGCGCGGCGCAACCGCGCGACGCAGUUGAGACUGGAAGACUUGAGUUCACAACAGGCAGGCGGAAUGAGUGGGGUAGCGGUGAAAUGCAUAGAUAUCACGAAGAACCCCGAUAGCGAAGGCAGCCUGCCGGGGUGCGACUGACGCUGAGGCUCGAAGGUGCGGGUAGCGAACAGGAUUAGAUACCCGAGUAGUC
Molecule: ribosomal RNA, 459 nt
Filed under: uncultured bacterium
Lineage: Bacteria
Description: partial 16S ribosomal RNA
Rfam family: Bacterial small subunit ribosomal RNA
Source: RNAcentral